This 397-nucleotide ribosomal RNA is filed under the name uncultured bacterium. RNAcentral's name for it is "partial 16S ribosomal RNA". It matches the Rfam family "Bacterial small subunit ribosomal RNA", at positions 523 to 918 of the family's 1533-position model. The record is from RNAcentral.
AUACGUAGGUGACAAGCGUUAUCCGGAUUUACUGGGCGUAAAGGGCGUGUAGGCGGUCUUGCAAGUCAGAAGUGAAAUUCCUGAGCUCAACUCGGGCGCUGCUUCUGAAACUGCAGGACUUGAGUGCUGGAGGGGAUAGCGGAAUUCCUAGUGGAGCGGUAAAAUGCGCAGAUAUUAGGAAGAACACCGGUGGCGAAGGCGGCUAUCUGGACAGUAACUGACGCUGAGGCGCGAAAGCGUGGGGAGCAAACAGGAUUAGAUACCCUGGUAGUCCACGCUGUAAACGAUGAAUACUAGGUGUAGGGGGUAUCGACUCCCUCUGUGCCGCAGUUAACACAAUAAGUAUUUCGCCUGGGGAGUACGGCCGCAAGGUUGAAACUUAAAGGAAUUGACGGGG